AUGCCCUGCGACGACAAGUGCGGCUGCGCCAUGCCGUGCCCGGGCGGCGCCGCCUGCAGGUGCGCCGGGAAGAAGCAGAGCAGCGGCGGCGGGGCGGUGCCGGUGAACCCCGCGGCCGUGGCGCACACCACCUGCACCUGCGGCGAGCACUGCUCCUGCAGGCCGUGCCCCUGCGGCCGGCUCGGCUCCGGCGACGGCGCCGGCAGGGCCGACUGCACCUGCGGCCCCACCUGCACGUGCGUCGUCUGCACCGCCUGA
RNAcentral lists this ribosomal RNA (258 nucleotides) under Triticum aestivum (bread wheat). RNAcentral's name for it is "partial small subunit ribosomal RNA". The record is from RNAcentral. Lineage: Eukaryota; Viridiplantae; Streptophyta; Magnoliopsida; Poales; Poaceae.